This 1863-nucleotide long non-coding RNA is filed under the name Penaeus chinensis. RNAcentral describes it as "uncharacterized LOC125039431". The record is from RNAcentral. Lineage: Eukaryota; Metazoa; Arthropoda; Malacostraca; Decapoda; Penaeidae.
AAAAAAAUCAUAAUUAUAGUAUUUCCACUAUCAAUUUUCAAACCAUAGAAGCCAAUGUAGUUAUCCUUAGAUAUUUGAUUUUUUUUUUUUUUUUAAUAUUUACGGAAGAGAAUAGAACCGGAAAACGAGUUGACUUCCUAAUGACGUCAUGAGUGUCCUGUGUUAAUUUGUGUGCCGUGUUUGCAGUAUGCCACUCUACGAGGAGUACGCAGACAUGACCAGCAUCCAGGCGGAGUAUGACGGAUCGACCACCAUCGUGAACGACUCAGAUAAGAAGGACGGUGGUUUGAAAGCAGGAGCACAGGUCGCGCGCGGACGCUUUCGCCAUGAACCCUACCGCCGCCUGCCCGUAAACGUUCCAGCCUAAACGUUUGUUGGGAGUCACCUUACAAAGUACAUGUUUCGUGCUCUUAGCGUGUGUUGAAGCGCCUGGGCUGGGGAGAGCGAGCUGGUCGGUCGGCUCUGAGGAGGAGUAAGAGGAGGAGGUGCUGAGUUUGGUGUUGUGAGAUAUGGUGCGUCGAGAUUGUUGUUUUUUUCGUUUGUUUUUUGGAAGAGGAAGAAAGAGAAAUCAAGGAUAGAGUAGGUAGAGAAGGAGGAAGAUAAGACGAAGAGAUGAGAGAUAAAAAAUAAGAAAGAAACUUGAGAUGAGAGAUUUUUUUUUAUGGAAACAAAAAUGAAAAUGUUUGUUUUGGCUUGUAGAAAACGGAAGUGAUACUUCAUUUUCCUUGGAGAAGAAGAAGAAAAUGUUGGAGAUAGAUAUGUGUGCCGCCAUUCUCAUGGAAAUCAGUGGAUACGAAGAUGUAUUAUCAUUUCGUUUAUAUAUUUUUUACAGUAGUAUCUACUUCAGCUGUGAAGAAAAUGGAAAUGUUAUGACUCGAGUUGCAUGACGCUGAAAUACCACUGAUAAAGAAUGCUUUCAAGCAGUGCAAGAAGUUUCUCGCUGUGUGUUUUUUUUCUGUGCUUGUUGGUCAAAAGAAAAGUUGUUUUUGAGUGUCUGCUGGAGUGCUUGUCAAAUGCACUCAGACAUUGUGAAGGAAAGUUAGAUAUAAGUAUAUAUAAAUAACUUGCUUUUCUAUAUAUAUAUACUAAACGUUAUAUAUACACACACACAUAUAUAUAUAUUUAUAGUUUAUGAAGCCAUGCACGAGGGAAAGGAGUUUUAGAGAGUUUGAGUUCGUUAUCUCUCCAAGCAAAGAGCGAAUUGAUAUCGGUUAGGUGUGGUUUCUCGAGGGGGCGCCCCGCUAGCACCCCAGGUUUAUCAAAGCCCAAAGCCGACCCCCUGACCCUCCCUCCCCCCCUCCGUAAUCAAGACCUCCCCCCUCUCCCCCCAAUUCACAAACCUGGGGGGGGGGAGGAAUACCGGGACUCCCCCACCUCUCCCCUCUCCCCCUCUAACCGACCCCCUCCCCACCUAGUCCCCCUAACCUGGUGACUUUGUGCUUUUGCCCGUGUUAAGCAGAGGCGAAUCGUUGUAGCAGUAAGGUACAUAUGCCAGUAUUUCUCCUCGGUAUUGUGACUCUUAGUAAAAACAAAAACAAAAACAAAAAAUAUAAAAAAUAAGCCAAAAAAAAAAAAUACUUUUUGAUGUAUUAUUUGAAUAACGGCAUGGUGUAACGUCAAGAAAAUCUCUCUGCCCUUUGCCCCUCUCCCCUGCCUAUACCCUCGUAGCUAGUCUCCCUCCUCCUCCCCUACCCCCACCCCCCUGCCCCUCUUAUUCCCAUCUCAACAGAAAACGAAAAACUAAACAAAAUACAGACACGUGAAAACACCCCCCUCCCCCUCCCUCCCUUCCCUAUUGAACUAUUCCAAAAGGUGUUAUAAAAGAUCCUUUAUUUAUAUAUAGAGAACAAAAGAAAAAAGAAU